This 1202-nucleotide long non-coding RNA is filed under the name Capra hircus (goat). RNAcentral describes it as "lncRNA (ENSCHIG00010023623.1)". The record is from RNAcentral. Lineage: Eukaryota; Metazoa; Chordata; Mammalia; Artiodactyla; Bovidae.
AUAAAAAGUGUAAUAAAAGGACAUUUUUUUUAUACGUUAAGCAUGUCACACAAUGCAGAAUGUUCAGUGUUAUGGAGAUCUCAUUGCAUGAAAUGUUUCGGUGAAGAUUUUAUUUCUUGGUAUGUGGACAGUAAGCCAUGCCACAUCCUUUUAGUCAAAUAGAAACAUAUAUUGUCAAAUGUACAUCUUGUAAACUGUCUGCAGUUCCAGCAAUGACAUAACCGAUGGGAGCACCUUGCAAUACACAACAGAAAAAGUACAAGCUUUAACUCCGCACUUCAGAAGGAUUGCUUAAAAAACAAAAAAAGCAAAUCUUAAUGUCAAGGACAUUUUGAAUUGUACCAUUUUCAGUGGCUAGACAGGUAAGAUGGACAUCAUUCCAGUCCCUUUGAUUUCUAGAGUUUGUGCCGGCCCUUUGGAUAUCAGUAAGUCAACAGACAACAUUCAAGCGUUCUCAACCUGAAAUGUCCGAGGCUGAAUGGCCGGUGUGGUCCUCUGAUCGCUGACCCUCCUCAGUCAGAGGGAAGCGAUGGGAAUUCAUCCCUCAUCCACCCCUCUUCUGGGCUCAACGGAGGCUGCUCUUAAACCAGGUGCCUUAAGUUCAACGCCCCUAAGAGACACCAGGCCCCCUCCCCGGGAUGGGCACUUACCCCAUCCGUGGUCUUCCUCCUCUUCUUCUUGGUCGGCACAAGGGACUUGCCGCUGACCGUCCAGCUCCAGAAGACUUUGUAGUGGUGCACCGGGAUGUCUGGUUCCUCGGGGACAUCCCACGUGAUGGUCACAGCCACGCUGCCAUCACUGUGGACGGUGGAGUUCGCCAGCCGGAGGUUGGCUGGGGCCGGGGGUGCAGACGGAUCUGAAAUCACAGGAGACAGAGUUCAGUUUUGAGGAUGACCACAAACGCACCAUGGACUCCAUGGACAGGAGUUUGAGCAAACUCCGGGAGACGGUGAAGGACACGGGAGCCUGGCGUGCUGCCAUCCGUGGGGUUGCAGACAUGACUGAGCAACUGAACAACAACCACGGAAGCGCCAUUUCUGCACAUGUGACGACUGCAGGGUCAGCACAGGAACAUUGCCCUUUAUAUGUAGGAUACUUGAAAACAAGCACUUUGGUUCAGUUCAGUCGCUUAAUCACGUCCAACUCUUUGCGACCCCACGGACCACAGCACGCCAGGCCUCCCUGUCCAUCACCAACUCCCG